Molecule: non-coding RNA, 2061 nt
Organism: Sus scrofa (pig)
Lineage: Eukaryota; Metazoa; Chordata; Mammalia; Artiodactyla; Suidae
Source: RefSeq, a predicted model, not a curated record
AAUCUGACUUUGGCACAAUUCUUGAUACUCAACUCUCAACUAACUUCCUUUAGAUUGUCAGGGGACACAUAGGUCCCCUCCAAGUUUUAGUGCAAGUUAGACCCGUUAUUUUGUGGCCUCUCCUAUCCCUCCUUCUCUUUUUGUAUCUCCUUCCUUCCCUCUUUUUCCCACCUUCGUGUCUUACUGAGUGCCCUCUCAAACUUCCUAAUUCAGGCUGCCUUCUUCUACUUGCAGGAGGACAACAGCUUUUCACUGAGCAAAGAACUGAUCACACUAAAGUCUCUGCUUCCACUGGCCUUGGGAGAGAGGACUGCAUCGUGGUGGAGGAGAACAGAUGUUAGCAGAUCUCAAGACAUCACAUUGAAGGUCUAUCAGAUAAAGAGAACAGUGGUUAAAUUGACUCCUUGAAAGAAGAGAAGAGGUAUAGAAAGGGGGAGAAGAGAAAAUGCAGAGAGGAGAUUUGGAAAAAAUGUAAGACUGGACAAGGCCUGGGGGAAGAGGGUGUUUUAUGUGUCAAAUCAAUACUGCAGAUAUAACUGCAAUUCUUGGGCCUUAAGAGGAUGGCAGUUUCCACUGGCUGACUUUCGGAGCGCUCUUUCUGGAGGCCCUGCAAUGACAGGCUUACCAACAUUUGAGUACUACCUUUGAAUGACAGCAGUUUGAUCAGAAGAUUUCCAUGUUAGGAGUUCCCGUCGAGGCUCAGUGGAAAUGAAUCUGACUAGCAUCCAUGAGGACACAGGUACAAGAUAAUGGACUCAAGCACGGAGAAAUAAACUGAUGGGAUGUUCUGAGCCUGACUAAGAAUGCCUUGGAAUUAUUGGCAAGUAGAUUCUUCAGUUAAAAUGUAAUCUUUUAAGGGAAAUUUACAAGAUAUCUAUGUUUGACAGUCACCUAACAUGGGGUUGGACUACAUUUGAUCAAACUCAUAUAGCAAACAGUAUUUCUUUGUGAAGUGUGAAUGCUAAAAAUAGAAGACAGUUAAGUUUUUCAUGUCUAAUUCCUGCUAAUCCAUGUCACAUACAGUCAGACUGAGACACAUAGGCCUAUGUGGAAGGUUAAAUUUUUAAAAAAUUCGUCUGGGGCAUGUUUACUAUCAUUCUUCUGUCUGAAUAAAAUAAUACAUUUUUAUUAUAAAGAAGGCAGAGCGUAAUUUUUAAAGAACAUCUUUUGAUGAGACAGCAUAAAAUGCUCUCAUCUUUCAGGGUAGUACUUGUGUAAUGAGAGUAUAUCUAUUUAUUAUGGUUUGUAUGAAAGAUUCAUAGAAAUUUUUGCUUUUUUCAUGUACUUACUUUUGUUCUAUAAAUGGCACCCUGAAAUACAGUGAUUAUUUUCCAAAUUUUAAUUUUCUUGUCAAAAAUGGCACUAUGUUUAGUAUAUGCAGCAGUGAGAGAGAAACUACUUAUUUUUGAAGAACUAAUAUUUUAAAAAAAACCUUGUGAAAGUUCUAUAAAAGUAGUGGAUUUUAUUUCAUGAAUCAAAUCCACUGUAGCUUUUCUGGUUUAGCUGAACUAAGAUUAACAUUUCAGAUAGAGAAAAAAAAUCUGCCUCCAUACCUUCAUUUUUAUUAAACUGGAGUUGACAAUAGAAUCCAUCCUACAGUUAAAAAAGACUGCCUUUAGUUUUAGUGGUACAAUGUUGGAUUUCAGUGUCAUUAUUAUUCUAGCUUUUAUUUACUAGUUAAGUCAAGAAAAAUUGCUACUGAAAAUUAGGCUUUUUAUUUGUUUUUUUAUAACAAGCUUUACACUAGUUGGAAAAAAAGCUCAUCUCUUUCCAUUUUUGCUUCAACAUGGAAUCAAGUAAGCAAUGAGGUGUCAUUGUAUUUCUUAUACAAUGCUGUCUUUAAAAUGUAGAAAUUUACUAUUUCAUUUAACAAUAUUAUCCGUUGGCAUUCUACUUUGAAAACAACUCAAAUUAUAUUUUUGGAAGAAAAAUUUAAAAUCCAUCUGUGACAAGACUGGCCAACUGAAAUUAUUAUGCUUGACCAGAUUAAUAACUAACUUUAGUGAACCUAUGGGUCCAGGUCAUUACUUACCAUUGUUUUUAGUAAAGUUCAACACAUUC